Molecule: long non-coding RNA, 1242 nt
Organism: Girardinichthys multiradiatus
Lineage: Eukaryota; Metazoa; Chordata; Actinopteri; Cyprinodontiformes; Goodeidae
Exons: 4
Source: RefSeq, a predicted model, not a curated record
UCGCCUCACCUGUUGGAAACGGCCUGCGGACUAAAACACUUUGUGGAAUAGAAACAAGUUAUUCUUCAGUUUUGCAGAGAUUCUACCUCCUCUGGGAUGAAUUAGAAAAACACUGAAUAACUUAAAGAGAGGUUGUCCUUUAGCAUCAUCGUGACGUCACGACAACUAAGGAUUGGUUAUCUUUGAUGACAGGCAGCUCUCCCGACCAACCCAGUAUGGUUUCGAGUCCUGCUGGACACCGCUGGUGGAGGAACCACACGUUUCAAAGCAAAGCUACAGUGGCAGCCAAUAAGGGGAGUGAACCGUCUUCUGAUCGCGGUCUUCACGUCGUCUCCACCGGGUCUGUUUCAGUCAGAGUUAUCCUUCUAGCUCCGAGGAUUCCCGUCUCAUAAAGUGUCCCGCUGGCGGCGAUGGUUGGGCGGCUGCUGAUGCGGAGAUGUCUUAUUGGGGGCGGAUGUGUGUGGAGCUCGGAGCCUGGCCGCUGGAAGCCCGAGUUUAGUCUCAGACUUCGGCUAAAAUGCGGGAUAUCGGAUGGAUCAUCUGAAGUGCCUUGAAUCAGCUGGUCCAACCCCCAAACAGGUGGAUCAGCUGUACCUUUCUGAAGCAGCUGCAGGUGCCCUGUGGGACAGCACUGGUGGAACUCCUAACUGCUCCUCCAUCUCUCCUCCUCCUCCCUCCAGAUGUUUGGUCUGCUUACAGAAGACGGUUUAUGCUGUUUGCAACAACGUGACCUCUGCACUGACCAUGGAGGGAGACGGCAAACAAAUCCGAAUCAAAGAGAGCGAGUGCCCCUUCUUCAUGAAACCAGGUGAGUUUCCCGGCAACAAAUCAGGCUAAAACAUAUUUGGAUCGUUUUUAUUUAUAUCUAAAGAUCAGAUGAUCGUGUUGACGCAGCUCCACAUGACAAACAUUCACCUGAACACAAAAAGCUCUGGAAAAAACAUCUUCACGUGUUUUCUGACAGACUCACCUCCACACCACCUCUCACCACCGCCUCUUUUAUGGCUGCUCAUCAUUCCCUUCUUCACCAUCAUCAUCGCUGCUGUGGUUUACUGGAAGGACAUCUAUGCAGGAUUGCAGAGAUGCAAAGAGAGAGCAACCUUCCAGAGAUGCAGAGCCAAUAAUCCAGAUGCCUCCUCAGAGAUGAAGCUGUGAACAUCACCUCUAGACUCCUGCUGCGCAUCAAAUAUUACUGCAAAUAUUUUUAAUAAAAUGUAAUAAAACAUUUUAAAAAUCACCCUA